GUCAACAUAGUUUUAACAAAAACUUUAGGAUGUGGAUCUAAAAAUAGAAGCUAAAAUCUUCUUGUUGAC
This 69-nucleotide transfer RNA is filed under the name Egernia richardi. RNAcentral describes it as "tRNA-His". It matches the Rfam family "tRNA". From Rfam's summary of the family: Transfer RNA (tRNA) molecules are approximately 80 nucleotides in length. Their secondary structure includes four short double-helical elements and three loops (D, anti-codon, and T loops). The record is from RNAcentral. Lineage: Eukaryota; Metazoa; Chordata; Lepidosauria; Squamata; Scincidae.